GCAUAUCAAUAAGCGGAGGAAAAGAAACUAACAAGGAUUCCCCUAGUAACUGCGAGUGAAGCGGGAAAAGCUCAAAUUUUGAAUCUGGCGGUCUCUGGCCGUCCGAGUUGUAAUCUAGAGAAGUGCUUUCCGCGCUGGACCGUGUACAAGUCUCCUGGAAUGGAGCGUCAUAGAGGGUGAGAAUCCCGUCUCUGACACGGAUCCCAGUGCUUUGUGAUGCGCUCUCGACGAGUCGAGUUGUUUGGGAAUGCAGCUCAAAUUGGGUGGUAAAUUCCAUCUAAAGCUAAAUAUAGGCGAGAGACCGAUAGCGAACAAGUACCGUGAGGGAAAGAUGAAAAGAACUUUGGAAAGAGAGUUAAACAGUACGUGAAAUUGCUGAAAGGGAAACGCUUGAAGUCAGUCGCGUUAGCUUGAGAUCAGCCUAGCUCUUUUGCUUGGUGUAUUCUCUUGUUGACGGGUCAGCAUCAAUUUUGGCUGCCGGAUAAAGGCAGAGGGAACGUGGCACCUUUCGGGGUGUGUUAUAGCCCUUUGUUGUAUACGGUGACUGGGAUUGAGGAACUCAGUACGACCUUCGGGUUUGGGGCUUCGGCCUACAUUUCGUGCUUAGGAUGCUGGCAUAAUGGCUUUAAUCGACCCGUCUUGAAACACGGACC
Molecule: ribosomal RNA, 653 nt
Filed under: Coniophora puteana
Lineage: Eukaryota; Fungi; Basidiomycota; Agaricomycetes; Boletales; Coniophoraceae
Description: eukaryotic LSU rRNA
Rfam family: Eukaryotic large subunit ribosomal RNA
Source: RNAcentral